Molecule: unclassified non-coding RNA, 2137 nt
Filed under: Sitophilus oryzae (rice weevil)
Lineage: Eukaryota; Metazoa; Arthropoda; Insecta; Coleoptera; Curculionidae
Description: thioredoxin reductase 1, mitochondrial, transcript variant X2
Source: RNAcentral
AGAUUAAAUAAUUUAUAUACCCAAUUCGGUGGAAGAAUAGGUGUUGGGUUUAUUUAUUUCGAAUGAUGUAAUUUCGCAGCGCACCGGUUUGCAUUACUCAUUAAUAAGAUUUUUGCCUCGAUAUUCUCAGUUCUAAAAGUUUCCUUAGUCCUUAAAUUGAAUUAAAAUGCCGUGUUGGGGUUGUAGAGCCAAAUCUUACAACACGAAAUCAGUGCAAAAGACGGGUAACGAGAAGAAUAAGAAUCAGUCCAAUUUAAAAAAUAAACCCGAAAAUAACGAACUCGGUUGUGCCGCUAAUAUUUCAGCUAAAAAUAUUUCUGCAGGAGAAUAUGAUUACGAUUUAGUGGUUAUUGGAGGAGGAUCGGGAGGCUUAGCCGCUGCAAAAGAAGCUACGGCACUUGGAGCUAAAGUAGCUGUUUUGGAUUACGUCACUCCAAGCCCCAUAGGGACAAAAUGGGGCCUAGGAGGUACCUGUGUCAAUGUGGGUUGUAUUCCAAAGAAGCUUAUGCAUCAAGCUGCUUUACUAGGUGAAUCAAUUCAUGACGCUAAAAGUUAUGGUUGGCAAAUAGGCGAUAAUGUAAGCCAUAGUUGGGAAUCAUUAAGAGAUGCUAUACAGGCCCAUAUUAAAUCUGUUAAUUGGGUUACGAGGGUAGAACUUAGAGAUAAGAAAGUUGAAUAUAUAAAUGGAUUAGGAACAUUUAAAGAUGCUCAUACAGUUCAGACAGUUACCAAACAGGGUGAACGUAAUCUUACCGCCAGAUAUUUUUUGAUUGCUGUGGGAGGCAGACCGAAAUAUUCAAAUAUUCCUGGAGCUCUGGAAUAUGGCAUUACUAGUGAUGAUAUAUUUAGUUUAAAUCGAGUACCAGGAAAAACUAUCAUUGUUGGAGCUGGAUACAUUGGUUUAGAAUGUGCUGGUUUCCUAAAAGGUUUGGGAUACGAUGCUACCGUGAUGAUUCGUUCUGUGCCUUUGAGAGGUUUUGACCAACAAAUGGCAGGCAUUAUUGUAGAAGAAAUGCGAGAUAAAGGUGUUAAAUUCUUACACAAGUGUUUACCUAAAUCAGUCGAGAAGCUUGAUUCAGGCAAACUGAAGGUAUCAUGGGUGAACGAAGCCAGUGAAGAGUUCAAUGACGAGUUCGACACUAUUUUGUUCGCUAUAGGUCGUCGGGCCUUGACCAAAGAAUUGAAUUUGGAAAAUGCAGGCGUUAAAAUAGCUGGUGAUGGUGAAAAGAUUGAUGCAGUCAACGAACAGACCAAUGUUUCACAUAUAUUUGCUGUAGGCGACGUUCUUUAUAAAAAACCUGAAUUGACUCCUGUAGCCAUUCAUGCAGGCAGGCUACUUGCAAGGAGACUUUUUGGAAACAGUACCAUAAACAUGGAUUAUGAUAAUGUGGCAACUACUAUUUUCACUCCAUUAGAAUAUGGAUGUGUUGGUAUUAGCGAAGAGGUUGCCAUCAAACGUUAUGGCGAGGACAACAUCGAAGUGUACCAUGGAUAUUACAAACCAACAGAAUUUUUCAUUCCGCAAAAAAGUAUAGUGCACUGUUAUUUGAAGGUGGUCGCUCUUAGGGAGGGAGACCAGAAAGUACUCGGCCUGCAUUUCAUUGGUCCUCAGGCUGGUGAAGUCAUACAAGGUUUUGCGGCGGCCUUAAAGUGCAAUUUAACUGUAAAUGCUUUAAUGAGCACUGUUGGCAUUCACCCAACAAUAGCGGAAGAGUUCACUAGGAUAAAUAUAACCAAAAGAUCCGGAAAAGACCCCAACCCAGCUUCCUGCUGCAGUUAAGCUAAUUUUACAACACACUGUAGCCUAAAUCAUGUAUACUUACGGCAUAUAACUUGUAACCAUACAAAUCUGACCAAUAUAUGUCAGAUUAUCUUUUUUUCUGUGUGUUUUAAGACAUAAGAUAAAAAAUUCAUCUUUUUCCUUUUUGAAAUUUGUGAAAUAUCACAUGCACAACAGUUAUACGGUAUUAUCUGCGUAAGUGUAUAUGAUUUCGGCACUUUAUAAUACACAAACAUGUACUUCACACUAGCAUAAAUGUGAUGUUUCUGCAAACAAUCCCGAUAUUUAUUUGUCUUUUAACACUUACACCCAGUAAAUAUUGAUGUAAUCCAAAUUCCAUUACAUUUUUAAAAACAG